CAGUCGCCGGGUAAUACGGAGGGGGCUAGCGUUGUUCGGAAUUACUGGGCGUAAAGCGCACGUAGGCGGCUUGGUAAGUUAGAGGUGAAAGCCUGGAGCUCAACUCCAGAAUUGCCUUUAAGACUGCCGAGCUAGCAGGUGAGAGAGGUAAGUGGAAUUCCGAGUGUAGAGGUGAAAUUCGUAGAUAUUCGGAAGAACACCAGUGGCGAAGGCGGCUUACUGGCUCAUACUGGACGCUGAGGUGCGAAAGCGUGGGGAGCAAACAGGAUUAGAUACCCCAGUAGUCCCUGUCUCUUAUACC
Molecule: ribosomal RNA, 301 nt
Filed under: uncultured bacterium
Lineage: Bacteria
Description: partial 16S ribosomal RNA
Rfam family: Bacterial small subunit ribosomal RNA
Source: RNAcentral